ACGAACGCUGGCGGCGUGCUUCACACAUGCAAGUCGAACGGAAAGGCCCUGCUUUUGUGGGGUGCUCGAGUGGCGAACGGGUGAGUAACACGUGAGUAACCUGCCCUUGACUUUGGGAUAACUUCAGGAAACUGGGGCUAAUACCGGAUAGGAGCUCCUGCUGCAUGGUGGGGGUUGGAAAGUUUCGGCGGUUGGGGAUGGACUCGCGGCUUAUCAGCUUGUUGGUGGGGUAGUGGCUUACCAAGGCUUUGACGGGUAGCCGGCCUGAGAGGGUGACCGGCCACAUUGGUACUGAGAGACGGACCAGACUCCUACGGGAGGCAGCAGUGGGGAAUAUUGCACAAUGAGCGGAAGCCUGAUGCAGCAACGCCGCGUGCGGGAUGACGGCCUUCGGGUUGUAAACCGCUUUCGCCUGUGACGAAGCGUGAGUGACGGUAAUGGGUAAAGAAGCACCGGCUAACUACGUG
Molecule: ribosomal RNA, 467 nt
Filed under: uncultured bacterium
Lineage: Bacteria
Description: partial 16S ribosomal RNA
Rfam family: Bacterial small subunit ribosomal RNA
Source: RNAcentral